UGGGGAAUAUUGCACAAUGGGGGAAACCCUGAUGCAGCGACGCCGCGUGAACGAAGAAGGUAUUCGUAUCGUAAAGUUCUGUCCUAUGGGAAGAUAAUGACAGUACCAUAGAAGAAAGCUCCGGCUAAAUACGUGCCAGCAGCCGCGGUAAUACGUAUGGAGCGAGCGUUGUCCGGAAUUAUUGGGCGUAAAGGGUACGCAGGCGGUUUAAUAAGUCGAAUGUUAAAGAUCGGGGCUCAACCCCGUAAAGCAUUGGAAACUGAUAAACUUGAGUAGUGGAGAAGAAAGUGGAAUUCCUAGUGUAGUGGUGAAAUACGUAGAUAUUAGGAGGAAUACCAGUAGCGAAGGCGACUUUCUGGACACAAACUGACGCUGAGGUACGAAAGCGUGGGGAGCAAACAGG
RNAcentral lists this ribosomal RNA (403 nucleotides) under bacterium. RNAcentral's name for it is "partial 16S ribosomal RNA". It matches the Rfam family "Bacterial small subunit ribosomal RNA", at positions 355 to 776 of the family's 1533-position model. The record is from RNAcentral. RNAcentral also lists the same sequence under 1 other name.